This 406-nucleotide ribosomal RNA is filed under the name uncultured bacterium. RNAcentral describes it as "partial 16S ribosomal RNA". It matches the Rfam family "Bacterial small subunit ribosomal RNA", at positions 30 to 526 of the family's 1533-position model. The record is from RNAcentral.
AUUGAACGCUGGCGGCAGGCCUAACACAUGCAAGUCGAGCGAGCGGCGGACGUGUGGGUAAUGUAUGGGGAUCUGCCCGGUAGAUGGCGAUCACUACUGGACACGGUGGCUAAUACCGCAUACUAUCGGAUGAACCCAUAUGGGAUUAGCUAGGAGGGGGGGUAAAGGCUCACCUAGGCGACGAUCUCUAGCUGGUCUGAGAGGAUGAUCAGCCACACUGGAACUGAGACACGGCCCAGACUCCUACGGGAGGCAGCAGUGGGGAAUAUUGCACAAUGGGCGAAAGCCUGAUGCAGCCAUGCCGCGUGUAUGAAGAAGGCCUUCGGGUUGUAAAGCACUUUCAGCGGGGAGGCGUUACCCGCAGAAGAAGCACCGGCUAACUCCGUGCCAGCAGCCGCGGUAAUUC